CAGAGUCACAUGACUCAUUUCCCUCCCCGCUCCUCUCGGUCCUGCUUGGGAGAGGGCAUUUGGAUCGCGGGGUCCGGGUUAGGUGAGGCAGGAGCUCGGGGUGCGGUAAGAAGAAGGGAGAGGUGCGGCAGGCCGGAGGGGACGAGGUGCUGGGAGGCGGAGUCCCGGAGGGCGCGGCGGCGGAAGAGAAGGCCCGGAGAAGAGGCUGCGAGCUCCACGUCGGCCCCGCUGGAGGAGGAGGAGAAGGAGAGGAGGAAAGGACCUCCCCUCGGCUGGAUGUCCAUUUCCCGCUGCCGCCGCCGCGAGCUCGUCUACUCUCCCUCUCUCUCCAUCCACGUCGCUCCGCUGCCUGCCCUCUCCCCGCUCCCGCUCGAGGUCGCGCUCGCGCGCCUGGGCAGUGGGUGCGGCCGUUCCAGGAGCCGGGGUUCGACGCGGAGAUGGUGGCGCUUCCGCUGACGACGCUGGUGCNNNCCUCUUUCUUCUUCUGGUCCGUACAAGAAACAGAGAUGUAGGUUGCAGGUGUGCCGAUCUAGCUGCCCAGAUUUGAGAACUACAUCGUGUAACACACAUACUUAGUACCACUUACAGUUCGGAUGAAUCCAGUAUGGGUUCAUUCCACUCAUAUCUACAUAUCAUGAAUCCAGUUCGGAUGAAUACAAAAAGAUAUCAAUUUCACGUACACACAACGACACUACAUAUAUUCACUUUCCCUUGUUUUUUCUUACCCUCUUCCCUCGAAGAACGAAAGGAAAAAGGGAAAACAAAGACAAACUAUUAAUGAGUAGCUAGGACUACGAACUCAUAAAAGAUUGGAGGGGACAAAAUAAGAAAACCACGAUGAACCUGUAAAGAUUACAGACAAAAAAACAAAAGAAAGACUUAUGUCUUUCUUAUUCGAUGAUCGUAAGGAUUACACGUUCAUUUGGAUGACCCUAAUGCUGACCUUUUUUUAGUACUGUACGCUCGUUAAGAGUUAAAUCUAUGACACUCGAAUUUAUUGUUCUCGAUUUGACAGCACGGUACAAGUCUUAACCAUUAUCUUUUCUAUUAGAUUUGCGUGUAAUACUUUGAUAGAUCUGAGGACGGAAACCCCUUAAUCCAACGAUUCAUAAUAAAACAUUUAUUUACUGUACGAUUGAACGACCAAGUCAAAUUUCGAUAUCCGUCCCCGAACGCCAUCCCCCCCCCCCAUAGUAACACCGUCAACUUUUGGUUUUGCAAAUAAGUACUCACAUACUAGACCUGUCGCGAAAAGACUUUCAUACAAUGCUAGGACGAGAACCCUCUAAUUCGACAACACCAUAACGAACCAUUUAUUAACCGUACGAUUUUGCAACCAACAACAAAGGCACCACCCCUGGUUAUUAUCUUUCUUCCACGAAGGAAUCUACCAACCAAUCCAGCACCCACGUCGUUCCUUUCCCGGUGGACUACUGCCAAGACCUGAACUCCAGAUUGUUUUUCAUAACCAGUCACAUCACAAAAGACCAAAGAACUAGUCACACAGUCUCCGGUACUUAAUAAAAGUACAAACGUUUCAAAAAAACCCUAACAUAAACAUUUCAUAUGGGGCCAACUCUCCGAUCCUCCCUAUAACGACUUGUUUAUAUAGACUGAAGAACUUACAGACAUGUCAAUCAGUCUCUACUUUACUGUUCGUCGAGAGGACGCAGCAAGCUCUUCUUUUCUUUUGUUUUAUGCUCCUAAUAUAUUAGGGUGAAAUACGAAUGGCAAUCAGGCUCUAAUUCACUAAUAAACACGGCGCCAGCGAUGUUGUUUAGUAGAUUUUAUUCGAUGAUCGCAAAAAAAAUUAGGUUCGAAAGAACGAAUCUUAAUCUAUUAUAUGCGGACGAAGUAUGUAUAAUAAGAAAGACUCUCCCCGUACUAGUAGUACUUUAGUUGUUUAAUAUAUGCAUACACACUUAGCAAAGAUCUGUGUUUCUCCUUGUAAGGUGACAUAUUUAGCAAGAUCUCGAUAAUCGACAUCAGGUAACAUUCCAUGUUGGAAUCAAAAUUUGUAGUAUGAUUGUCUAUACAUAACCUUAAAAUUACAAAGUUGAAGAAACUUGGUAGAUAAAAGAACGUGAUCUUAUAACGUUACCUCAAAAGUCAAAGAUUUACCUAAAGGUCUAGACUCUGUCUUAUCUUCUCUUUUUUUAAGGAUACCUUCUCAAACUGCUCUUGUUCUUAAAACGUUACCCCUUAAAUAGGUGUUUCGAACAGAACAGUACACAUCCGAUGCGCUGAUAUGUGGUCGUACCGGUCAAUAUUCCCGUGGGACCUACCUGUGUGACUUCUAGGGAGAACGACACACCUUGUGCGGUGCGAACUGCUGCAGAGGCAGACCCUCACCAGACCAAGACGGAUACUACUUCCUCGACUUCGUCGACUUACCGAGAGGUGGAUAAAGCCCUUCGGUACAGCCGAGCACACAAAAUUUCUUCCACAUGCGGAACGAUACAAGAAGGUUUUGUUUUAUAUGGAACCUAUGGACAGUUUUUCAUAAAUCUUUUACAAAAGAGUUACUCUAGCAGAGACCAUGAAUACCUCUUUCAGAGGAAAGGUACGAAAAGUAUCUCAGGCUUUAAUCCGGCUGAUUAGGACUCAUACGAGUUCCGACGAGUGGAAGUGCCUAACGAAGGGCAAGGACUAUCGUAGGGUCCCGAGUAACUUACGUGAUUUACUCCAAGAAUUUCUUGGACAUGGUUAGUUAGCGAGGUCUGGUUUAUAAAAUCAACUACCUACGGUGGGCGUACCUAUCCUAUACACCUUUGGGUAUUUCUAUUUGUUCGAUAGUAAACUGUCCCACUUCAAUACGCUGGCAACGUUCAAUCGGCGUUACCUUUUUCAGUCCUAGAGUUGUUUCUUGGAAGACCUGCUAUACUACGUCGUCGAACCGGAAGGUUUGCGUCGCAUGAGUUGUAUCUUCCGUUCCUGCCAACCAGUUGGUAAGUGAUAGGUAGUUUCGUGGUUGACCUGUUGGCUGAAGGUUCCUAUAGUUAUAGGUAAAUGCACAUGCCAUUUGAGUUUCUUCGAAUUCUAGCUGGCCGUUGAUUUCGAGAGUUCAUCAGGUUCACUUCACUUCCUUGAAAUAGCGUAUUAUUUAUGUUUGAGGUGUCGUUCUAGUUGUGGGUUUCGGUUGUUAGACUUUGUAUAAAGCAGUGUCUAUUCUAUACAACGACUAGCAGAAUUGCUAUAUUCAAAUGUUAGUCUUUGGCAAUAUAUCUUUUGUUUGUUCAUAAUAACUUCGUACUUACUACUAUAACUUCCUUAAAGACGAGACUCGUUACGUCCGGUACUUCUUGUUGUAGAUACUUCUGAACGGAGUUUCUUUAACAAGAUUUGUAGGUUGCUAUGUAGACAGUUUACAUCGAAUCGAGACGGAUAGAUGUACGGAACGAGUAUUGUAACAUUUACUAACAAACAUUCGAAGAAUCUUUUGUACAUAGUAGUCGUUGGUAGAUAGAUAGUAGUUAAGCAUGAAUAAAAGUAUACAAAAGAAAACACAGAUGUAUAAAACUACGAGUGAGAAAGUUAUCAACCGAACGAGAGCCGGAAACGCGGUACCCGCGUUGCUCAGUAGAUCAUCAUCAUCUCGAUCUCUAUCCCCACAAGCGACCGCCAGUACCUGGCCGGGUCAGUCUCCGGCGGACACGCUAUUCUCGCCGUGUAUCCUCCAGGGGCAGAUUUGGAGUUGAAACAAGCUGUAACAAAUUUCUUGCGACACUUCAAAUC
RNAcentral lists this ribosomal RNA (3735 nucleotides) under Triticum aestivum (bread wheat). RNAcentral describes it as "partial small subunit ribosomal RNA". The record is from RNAcentral. Lineage: Eukaryota; Viridiplantae; Streptophyta; Magnoliopsida; Poales; Poaceae.